RNAcentral lists this ribosomal RNA (253 nucleotides) under uncultured bacterium. RNAcentral's name for it is "partial 16S ribosomal RNA". It matches the Rfam family "Bacterial small subunit ribosomal RNA", at positions 524 to 776 of the family's 1533-position model. The record is from RNAcentral.
UACGUAGGGGGCGAGCGUUGUCCGGAUUUAUUGGGCGUAAAGAGCGUGUAGGCGGCCAGGUAGGUCUGCUGUGAAAACUCGAGGCUCAACCUCGAGACGUCGGCGGAAACCAUCUGGCUAGAGUCCGGAAGAGGAGAGUGGAAUUCCUGGUGUAGCGGUGAAAUGCGCAGAUAUCAGGAAGAACACCCGUGGCGAAGGCGGUUCUCUGGGACGGUACUGACGCUGAGACGCGAAAGCUAGGGGAGCAAACGGG